GCAGGCUUGAGUCUUGUAGAGGGGGGUAGAAUUCCAGGUGUAGCGGUGAAAUGCGUAGAGAUCUGGAGGAAUACCGGUGGCGAAGGCGGCCCCCUGGACAAAGACUGACGCUCAGGUGCGAAAGCGUGGGGAGCAAACAGGAUUAGAUACCCUGGUAGUCCACGCCGUAAACGAUGUCUACUUGGAGGUUGUGCCCUUGAGGCGUGGCUUCCGGAGCUAACGCGUUAAGUAGACCGCCUGGGGAGUACGGCCGCAAGGUUAAAACUCAAAUGAAUUGACGGGGGCCCGCACAAGCGGUGGAGCAUGUGGUUUAAUUCGAUGCAACGCGAAGAACCUUACCUGGUCUUGACAUCCACAGAACUUUCCAGAGAUGGAUUGGUGCCUUCGGGAACUGUGAGACAGGUGCUGCAUGGCUGUCGUCAGCUCGUGUUGUGAAAUGUUGGGUUAAGUCCCGCAACGAGCGCAACCCUUAUCCUUUGUUGCCAGCGGUCCGGCCGGGAACUCAAAGGAGACUGCCAGUGAUAAACUGGAGGAAGGUGGGGAUGACGUCAAGUCAUCAUGGCCCUUACGACCAGGGCUACACACGUGCUACAAUGGCGCAUACAAAGAGAAGCGACCUCGCGAGAGCAAGCGGACCUCAUAAAGUGCGUCGUAGUCCGGAUUGGAGUCUGCAACUCGACUCCAUGAAGUCGGAAUCGCUAGUAAUCGUGGAUCAGAAUGCCACGGUGAAUACGUUCCCGGGCCUUGUACACACCGCCCGUCACACCAUGGGAGUGGGUUGCAAAAGAAGUAGGUAGCUUAACCUUCGGGAGGGCGCUUACCACUUUGUGAUUCAUGACUGGGGUGAAGUCGUAACAAGGUAACCGUAGGGGAACCUGCGGUUGGAUCACCUCCUUACCUUAAAGAA
Molecule: ribosomal RNA, 907 nt
Filed under: Salmonella enterica subsp. enterica serovar Javiana
Lineage: Bacteria; Pseudomonadati; Pseudomonadota; Gammaproteobacteria; Enterobacterales; Enterobacteriaceae
Description: bacterial SSU rRNA
Rfam family: Bacterial small subunit ribosomal RNA
Source: RNAcentral